ACCCGGGAAGUCCCUGACACUCGAUAUUUGACGAAAAGUGGUGUUGAAGGACUUCCCUGGAGG
This is a microRNA precursor of Bos indicus x Bos taurus (hybrid cattle), 63 nucleotides long. The record is from Ensembl. NCBI's taxonomy places the organism in Eukaryota, Metazoa, Chordata, Mammalia, Artiodactyla, Bovidae.